ACAAAGAAGAGUUUGAUCCUGGCUCAGGAUGAACGCUAGCGGCAGGCUUAACACAUGCAAGUCGAGGGGCAGCGGGGUAGCAAUACUGCCGGCGACCGGCGCACGGGUGAGUAACAGGUAUGCAAUCUGCCGUCAACUGUGGGAUAACCCGUCGAAAGACGGCCUAACACCGCAUAAGACCACACAGGGGCCUCCCUGAGGGGUAAAAUGUUUACAGGUUGGCGAUGAGCAUGCUUAUCAUUAGGUAGUUGGUAGGGUAACGGCCUACCAAGCCGACGAUGAUUAGGGGUUCUGAGAGGAAGGUCCCCCACACUGGUACUGAGACACGGACCAGACUCCUACGGGAGGCAGCAGUGAGGAAUAUUGGUCAAUGGGCGAGAGCCUGAACCAGCCAUGCCGCGU
This 402-nucleotide ribosomal RNA is filed under the name Bacteroidales bacterium. Its description in RNAcentral is "bacterial SSU rRNA". It matches the Rfam family "Bacterial small subunit ribosomal RNA", at positions 1 to 402 of the family's 1533-position model. The record is from RNAcentral. Lineage: Bacteria; Pseudomonadati; Bacteroidota; Bacteroidia; Bacteroidales.